UAGUUGGGCAUGAAUACAGUAACAUGACCCAUUGGCCCUUUUUCUUCUUUCUUCUUUCUUCUUCUUUCUCCUACGACAGAACACCUUCUUCUUCUCUUCUUCUUCUCAUUUACGAUUCUUCAUCUACUCUUCCUUGUCUUCUAACUACUCUCUCACAUUUGAAUCUCUUGUGCAGGAUUAAUCAAAGAUGAGAUUCCAACACUCCCUCUCUCAUCUUUUGAUUAAUCCCCAAAAUUCCCAAAUUCCAAUCCAGGGAUUUGAUCCCUUUUACUUCUUGUACUUCUCCAAAGAACUUCUUGCUCCAUGAACAAAAUCGUUUCACAACAUUUGUUACCCUUGCUGAUUUCUCUUCUUUUUUACCAACCUUAACAGAAACAUGGGGCUUCUUCCUCUGCAUAUACCCAGGAGCAUGAAUCCGACCAUCAGUCUCUUCUCCAAGAGAGUUCAAAUCAUUACAUACAAAUGCUCUCCAAUUUCUUCGAGAAUCAUCACAUCGAUUUCAGCUAAGACUUGAAGUUCCCUUUUGCUCAGGUGCUUUUGUGCGUCUUCAAUCUUCUUCUCUGUGAUUGUCUUCUCAUCCCACCAAAUUAGUUUCUUCAUCUCAAUCUCCCUCAAGCACUUAUUCUCCAGGAAUCUCUUUGUUUAUCUUUCUAACUUUCUCUGGAGUGAUUUUCUUCUUGGAUUUCCUCUGGUUUUCUCCUAACACAGUUGAUUUCUGCAGGUGCUUUUGCGUGGAACCCAUGUCUCCAAUCUCAUUCUUGGUGAGGUGCGGAUCAUACCACCAUGUAAAUGAGCUUUUUCUGGAAUCAAAGGCUUGAGACUCCCUCUUGCUGUAAUCUCUAUUUCUCUCUAGCUUCAAAGUUUUGUGUGUUCUCACCACUUCUGCUUCUAGUUUCCCAUGAACUUUUUCCACGUCCAUGUUGGUUGUAUCUCCAACCAGCCCUUCUUCCCUCUUAGGUAAGCUCAUCUCUCUCUGAUUGGUAUCUUUGUUGAACAUGACAGACUUGUGGUUCUCAGUUUUCUGAACCAUAGUCUUUGUCUCCUUGACCUUUAUUUCUCUGUCUUUACUUGUAGUGCUUCUUUCGUCCUCAACUUCACUAUCAUACUUGAUCUUCUCAGGUUUCGACUUAACUCAUCAAAUUUCUGAUCAAUGAGUUUAGUUUUUCUCUUGGCAAUGAUUGAGGUUUUCCCCUUUUCUAUUUUUGCUUCAUCGUGGAUCUCUCCUUUGGACUUAUCACUCAUUUGUUCUCUCUCAUCCUUGAGUUCUUGACUUACAACUUUCUCCCUUUUAUGUAGCAUGACACCAAUCAUCUGUUCACUGACCUUAAUUUCUUCUCUUUUUUCAACAGCCUUGACUUUGGACUUUUGAGUAUAACACUCAACUUUCAGCAACUUGUAUUUCUCGUUUUGUUCAUUGCUCGACUCUUUCUUCAGUACACACUCUUGUUCUCAGAUUCAUCAUUUCCACACUCUUUACCAUCUCUUUCAGGGAAAUUACAAUUGGGAGAGAAGGAUCGAUUGCUGCAACUUUCCUACCGGUGAUAAAUUUGUCUUCCACCAGUCUCACCGUCGUUGAAGCUCUCAAACGCAAGACAUGAUUUGAAAAGAAAAACUAGUUGAUUAGAUACAGAGAUAAGGGAAAGCUUUGGCAAUGAAACAGUUUCAGGAUGAUGACGAACAAAUCGAUCGGUUCAUCUGCUUGCAACACUCUCAACAAAUUCAAAGAAAAGGUUUUAAUUACAAAGGGCUUGUACUUCUUAUGUGAAGCUUAUAUUGGUGUCAACGUAGGAAAAAAAAAAAACACUACCAUCUUCACGCUUAUUCCCUUGGGCAUCAAAAUGAGCUGGUUCCAAAAUGUUCAUGGAGCUGUUUGCAAUGAGGUCAUCCAUAUGGGAUAUGUGCAGCAUACGCAUGUUACUGUUCUUAUCCUCUACCCAAGGGACAUAUAGCUUUUUCUUAGCCAUAGUAUUUAGAAAACGAAACACAUGAGUGAAAAAAUGCAGAGCGGGACAUUUUAUCCUGUAUGUGACAAUUUGGCAAAUCUUAUUAAAUCCUUUAAAAUAUCAAGUUUAAUAUCCCCUCUAAGUUUGUGGGCAAA
Molecule: non-coding RNA, 2098 nt
Organism: Camelina sativa (false flax)
Lineage: Eukaryota; Viridiplantae; Streptophyta; Magnoliopsida; Brassicales; Brassicaceae
Source: RefSeq, a predicted model, not a curated record